This 82-nucleotide transfer RNA is filed under the name Brevundimonas phage vB_BpoS-Bambus. Its description in RNAcentral is "tRNA-Trp". It matches the Rfam family "tRNA". Rfam says of the family: Transfer RNA (tRNA) molecules are approximately 80 nucleotides in length. Their secondary structure includes four short double-helical elements and three loops (D, anti-codon, and T loops). The record is from RNAcentral. RNAcentral also lists the same sequence under 1 other name. Lineage: Duplodnaviria; Heunggongvirae; Uroviricota; Caudoviricetes.
ACGGGUGUCGCCAAGUCUGGCUCAAGGCACUGGUCUCCAAAACCAGCAUAUGUCGGGGGUUCGAAUCCCUCCACCCGUGCCA